UACGAAGGGGGCUAGCGUUGCUCGGAAUCACUGGGCGUAAAGGGUGCGUAGGCGGGUCUUUAAGUCAGGGGUGAAAUCCUGGAGCUCAACUCCAGAACUGCCUUUGAUACUGAAGAUCUUGAGUUCGGGAGAGGUGAGUGGAAUUCCGAGUGUAGAGGUGAAAUUCGUAGAUAUUCGGAAGAACACCAGUGGCGAAGGCGGCUACCUGGACAAAUACUGACGCUGAGGCGCGAGAGCGUGGGGAGCAAACAGG
RNAcentral lists this ribosomal RNA (253 nucleotides) under uncultured bacterium. RNAcentral describes it as "partial 16S ribosomal RNA". It matches the Rfam family "Bacterial small subunit ribosomal RNA", at positions 524 to 776 of the family's 1533-position model. The record is from RNAcentral.